AUGGGAACAAUCGGGGGCUCAGCGAUUGUGCUGGUUCUUGUUUUGAGCGCUCCAGGCAGAGCCAAGAUCCAGCAGCCGGUCUCGGCGGAAGCUUUGGAGGGAGCCGAACUGAACCUCACCUGCUCUCACCCCUCAGCCAGCGCUGAUAAUAUACUCUGGUACCGGCAGUUUUCGAACCGAGGACCCGAAUUUAUAGUGACUGGAUUCAGUGGAACCGCUCACAGCCCCGACCCAGAGGGAACCUUGCAUAUCUCCAAGAAUAAAGAAAACAGCAUCUUCGCCCUGCGCAGGGUGCGGCUCGCAGACGCAGCGGUUUAUUACUGUGCUCGGAGAGACACAGUUUGA
Molecule: non-coding RNA, 345 nt
Organism: Trachemys scripta elegans
Lineage: Eukaryota; Metazoa; Chordata; Testudines; Emydidae
Source: the annotation of a RefSeq genome assembly